UCUCGCAUCGAUGAAGAACGCAGCGAAAUGCGAUAAGUAAUGUGAAUGNCAGAAUUCAGUGAAUCAUCGAAUCUUUGAACGCACCUUGCGCUCCUUGGUAUUCCGAGGAGCAUGCCUGUUUGAGUGUCAUGAAUCUCUCAACCCACCUGGUUUUUGUUAACUGUGGUGGGCUUGGAUUUGGGGGCUUUGCUGGCUGUCAAGUCGGCUCCUCUCUAAAUGUAUUAGCUGAACCCGUUGCGGAACAGUGGCUCGGUGUGAUAAUUGUCUACGCCGUCUCUGGGAAGCGUCUUUGGUUGAUUGGCUUCUAAACUGUCCUCGGACAAUUUUGACAGUUUGACCUCAAAUCAGGUAGGAUUACCCGCUGAACUUAAGCAUAUCAAUAAGCGGAGGAAAAGAAACUAACAAGGAUUCCCCUAGUAACUGCGAGUGAAGCGGGAAGAGCUCAAAUUUAAAAUCUGGCGGUCCUUUGGCCGUCCGAGUUGUAUUCUGGAGAAGCGUCUUCCGUGC
Molecule: ribosomal RNA, 507 nt
Filed under: uncultured fungus
Lineage: Eukaryota; Fungi
Description: eukaryotic LSU rRNA
Rfam family: Eukaryotic large subunit ribosomal RNA (bases 335-507)
Source: RNAcentral